AGAGUUUGAUCCUGGCUCAGGAUGAACGCUAGCGGCAGGCCUAAUACAUGCAAGUCGAGGGGUAAAUAUGUAGCAAUACGAUAUGAGACCGGCGCACGGGUGCGUAACACGUAUGCAACUACCUUUUACUGGGGUAUAGCUCCGAGAAAUCGGAAUUAAUCCCCCAUAACACUGCGAUGGGGCAUCUCAUUGCAGUUAAAGCUCAGGCGGUAAAAGAUGGGCAUGCGGUACAUUAGCUAGUUGGUGAGGUAAUGGCUCACCAAGGCUACGAUGUAUAGCUGAUCUGAGAGGAUGAUCAGCCACACUGGGACUGAGACACGGCCCAGACUCCUACGGGAGGCAGCAGUGGGGAAUCUUGCACAAUGGAGGAAACUCUGAUGCAGCGAUGCCGCGUGAGUGAAGAAGGCCUUUGGGUUGUAAAGCUCUUUUGUAGGGGAAGAUAAUGACUGUACCCUAAGAAUAAGGUCCGGCUAACUUCGUGCCAGCAGCCGCGGUAAUACGAAGGGACCUAGCGUAGUUCGGAAUUACUGGGCGUAAAGCGCGCGUAGGCCGUUGAGUUAGUUAAUUGUGAAAUCCCAAAGCUUAACUUUGGAACUGCAAUUAAAACUGCUCGACUAGAGUUUGAUAGAGGAAAGCGGAAUACAUAGUGUAGGGGUGAAAUUCGUAGAUAUUAUGUAGAACACCAGUUGCGAAGGCGGCUUUCUGGAUCAACACUGACGCUGAGGCGCGAAAGUAUGGGUAGCAAAGAGGAUUAGAUACCCUCGUAGUCCAUACCAUAAACGAUGAUUGCUAGAUGUUGGAAAUUUAUUUUCAGUAUCGCAGCUAACGCAUUAAGCAAUCCGCCUGGGGAGUACGACCGCAAGGUUAAAACUCAAAGGAAUUGACGG
RNAcentral lists this ribosomal RNA (887 nucleotides) under uncultured Alphaproteobacteria bacterium. Its description in RNAcentral is "bacterial SSU rRNA". It matches the Rfam family "Bacterial small subunit ribosomal RNA", at positions 8 to 916 of the family's 1533-position model. Lineage: Bacteria; Pseudomonadati; Pseudomonadota; Alphaproteobacteria. The record is from RNAcentral.